UGGCCUAUUGUUUUGAUAGAAAAUGGUUUUUGAACUAAAUUUUAAAAAAAUUCCACCUCUUGUGUGUGUGAUUGUGGUUGUUCUUGUGCAAAUUUGAGUGUCAGUUGCGGUCAAUACCGAUGACUUGAAUAGUGCUCUUAAUUGAACUUUUAGCAUCUCAUUGUGACUAGCCGUUUGUCGAAUGAAUCUCUUCCGAUGAACA
RNAcentral lists this long non-coding RNA (202 nucleotides) under Solanum tuberosum (potato). RNAcentral describes it as "long non-coding RNA (STUB_LNC011484)". Lineage: Eukaryota; Viridiplantae; Streptophyta; Magnoliopsida; Solanales; Solanaceae. The record is from RNAcentral.